This is a long non-coding RNA of Haliotis rubra (blacklip abalone), 375 nucleotides long. RefSeq lists it as uncharacterized. Lineage: Eukaryota; Metazoa; Mollusca; Gastropoda; Lepetellida; Haliotidae. The transcript is spliced from 3 exons. The record is from RefSeq and is a predicted model, not a curated record.
CCGCUCACUAUCCUGAACAACACCUCUCACCCGCCCACUAUCCUCGGCAACACCUCUCACCCGCUCACUAUCCUGAACAACACCUCUCACCCGCCCACUAUCCUCGACAACACCUCUCACCCGCCCACUAUCCUGAACAACACCUCACACCCGCCCACUAUCCUCGACAACAUCUCUGACGCGCCCACUAUCCUCAACAACAUCUCUGACGCGCCCGAACAUCUUUAAACCCUGCCCACAACCUUGAACCCUGUAUGGACCACAUACACUAUCCCAACACAAUCUUACCCGACCCAUUAUCCUGAACAACAUAUCUCACCCCGCUGACAAUCAUGAACACCAUAUCUCACCCUGAUGACAAUCAUGAAUAACAUA